This 333-nucleotide unclassified non-coding RNA is filed under the name uncultured Mortierella. Its description in RNAcentral is "sequence contains ITS2". Lineage: Eukaryota; Fungi; Mortierellomycota; Mortierellomycetes; Mortierellales; Mortierellaceae. The record is from RNAcentral.
AACGCAUAUUGCGCUCUUUGGUAUUCCGAAGAGCAUGCUUGUUUGAGUAUCAGUAAACACCUCAACCUCCUCUUGAUUUUUCAAAAGGAGGGUGGACUUGAGCUAUCCCAACAACCUUUAUCGGUAGGCGGGUGGCUUGAAAUGCAGGUGCAGCUGGACUUUUAUCUGAGCUAAAAGCAUAUCUAUUUAGUCCUCGUCAAACAGGAUUAUUACUAUUGCUGCAGCUAACAUAAAGGAUAAUUGUCCUCAUUGCUGACUGAUGCAGGAUUUUACGACACUUUAUGUGUUGUUCAACUCGAUCUCAAAUCAAGUAAGACUACCCGCUGAACUUAA